GGGUCAGUAGGUUGGUCGUGCCACCGGUACGUACUGGUCUCACUGAUUCCUCCUUCCUGAGGAACCGUAAUGCCAUUAAUUUGGUGUUGCGGGGAAACAGGACUGUUGCUUUGAAAAAAUUAGAGUGUUUAAAGCAAGCUAACGCUUGAAUACAUUAGCAUGGAAUAAUGAAAUAGGACGAUCGAUCCUAUUUUGUUGGUUUCUAGGAUUGACGUA
Molecule: ribosomal RNA, 216 nt
Filed under: Glomeromycotina sp.
Lineage: Eukaryota; Fungi; Glomeromycota
Description: partial small subunit ribosomal RNA
Rfam family: Eukaryotic small subunit ribosomal RNA (bases 40-216)
Source: RNAcentral